GGUGGUUCUCGGGUGACACACCCCGGAAUCGGGCUCCCUCCUCUCUGGUUCCAGGUGUGACACCUGAGAGCUGAA
Non-coding RNA from Myotis lucifugus (little brown bat), 75 nucleotides. The record is from Rfam. NCBI's taxonomy places the organism in Eukaryota, Metazoa, Chordata, Mammalia, Chiroptera, Vespertilionidae.